This 432-nucleotide ribosomal RNA is filed under the name uncultured bacterium. RNAcentral describes it as "partial 16S ribosomal RNA". It matches the Rfam family "Bacterial small subunit ribosomal RNA", at positions 29 to 506 of the family's 1533-position model. The record is from RNAcentral.
AACGAACGCUGGCGGCAUGCCUAACACAUGCAAGUCGAACGAGACCUUCGGGUCUAGUGGCGCACGGGUGCGUAACGCGUGGGAACCUGCCCUUAGGUUCGGAAUAACUCCCCGAAAGGGGUGCUAAUACCGGAUAAUGUCUUCGGACCAAAGAUUUAUCGCCUUUGGAUGGGCCCGCGUUGGAUUAGCUAGUUGGUAGGGUAAAAGCCUACCAAGGCGACGAUCCAUAGCUGGUCUGAGAGGAUGAUCAGCCACACUGGGACAGGGACACGGCCCAGACUCCUACGGGAGGCAGCAGGGGGGAAGAAUGGACAAUGGGCGAAAGACUGAUCCAGCAAUGCCGCGUGAGUGAUGAAGGCCGUAGGAUUGUAAAGCUCUUUUACCCGGGAUGAUAAUGACAGUACCGGGAGAAUAAGCUCCGGCUAACUCCGU